CAUCCUCUGUUUUUAAAGACUAGCAAUAGGUAUGCUUAGGGAGGAGCUUGCGUCACAUUAGUUAGUUGGUGGGGUAAAGGCCUACCAAGACUAUGAUGUGUAGCCGGGCUGAGAGGUUGAACGGCCACAUUGGGACUGAGACACGGCCCAAACUCCUACGGGAGGCAGCAGUAGGGAAUUUUCGGCAAUGGAGGAAACUCUGACCGAGCAACGCCGCGUGAACGAUGAAGUAUUUCGGUACGUAAAGUUCUUUUAUUAGGGAAGAAUAAAUGAUGGAAAAAUCAUUCUGACGGUACCUAAUGAAUAAGCCCCGGCUAACUAUGUGCCAGCAGCCGCGGUAAUACAUAGGGGGCAAGCGUUAUCCGGAAUUAUUGGGCGUAAAGGGUGCGUAGGCGGUUAAAUAAGUUUAUGGUCUAAGUGCAAUGCUCAACAUUGUGAUGCUAUAAAAACUGUUUAGCUAGAGUAAGAUAGAGGCAAGUGGAAUUCCAUGUGUAGUGGUAAAAUGCGUAAAUAUAUGGAGGAACACCAGUAGCGAAGGCGGCUUGCUGGGUCUUUACUGACGCUGAGGCACGAAAGCGUGGGGAGCAAACAGGAUUAGAUACCCUGGUAGUCCACGCCGUAAACGAUGAGUACUAAACGUUGGGUAAAACCAGUGUUGAAGUUAACACAUUAAGUACUCCGCCUGAGUAGUACGUACGCAAGUAUGAAACUUAAAGGAAUUGACGGGACUCCGCACAAGCGGUGGAUCAUGUUGUUUAAUUCGAAGGUACCCGAAAAACCUCACCAGGUCUUGACAUGCUUCUGCAAAGCUGUAGAAACACAGUGGAGGUUAUCAGUUGCACAGGUGGUGCAUGGUUGUCGUCAGCUCGUGUCGUGAGAUGUUGGGUUAAGUCCCGCAACGAGCGCAACCCUUAUUGUUAGUUACCAGCACGUAAUGGUGGGGACUUUAGCAAGACUGCCAGUGAUAAAUUGGAGGAAGGUGGGGACGACGUCAAAUCAUCAUGCCCCUUAUGACCUGGGCUACAAACGUGAUACAAUGGCUGUUACAAAGGGUAGCUGAAGCGCAAGUUUUUGGCGAAUCUCAAAAAAACAGUCUCAGUUCGGAUUGAAGUCUGCAACUCUGACUUCAUGAAGUUGGAAUCGCUAGUAAUCGCGAAUCAGCAUGUCGCCGGGAAAUAUAUUUUG
Molecule: ribosomal RNA, 1185 nt
Filed under: 'Codiaeum variegatum' phytoplasma
Lineage: Bacteria; Bacillati; Mycoplasmatota; Mollicutes; Acholeplasmatales; Acholeplasmataceae
Description: bacterial SSU rRNA
Rfam family: Bacterial small subunit ribosomal RNA
Source: RNAcentral